This 1817-nucleotide long non-coding RNA is filed under the name Homo sapiens (human). RNAcentral describes it as "HSALNT0251687". Lineage: Eukaryota; Metazoa; Chordata; Mammalia; Primates; Hominidae. The record is from RNAcentral.
CAGCGUUGCAACUGAAAGACAGGAGUGACAGGGGAGAGCAGGGACAAUGGGAACCCCCAGUGGACAAGGUGGAACCUGCCUUGGCCUCUCUGUCUCCAGGCUCCAACCUGGCUACCCAGGAGGCCUGCCUGCAGGAGGAGGCACGCUUCUGCCCUGGAACUAUGCUGGCUCACACCUGGCCACAGUUUGGAGCAGCUGAAGGAAGGAGUCUUCUGGGAGAUGGGAGACUGGGGAAGAUCUGAUGGUAGGUGUUGAAGGUGGCUUCUAGAAGCUGGAAAAAGGCAAGGAAAGAUAAUCCUCCCGAGAGCCUCAGCCAGCCCUGCCGACAUUGAGACCUAACCCAGUGACGAUGAUUUUGGACUUCCCACCUCCAGAACUGUAAAAUAAUAAAUUUGUGUUGUUCUAAGGCAUUAAGUUGGAGAAACUUAUUAUGGCUGCAAUAGGAAAUAUAAUGGGGGAAUCCAGAUAAAAGGAGAAUCCAGUCCAUGAAGGAAAGGGCAUGCCAGGGUGAAGCAAUAACGCUGUUCUGCAUGCUCCCAAAUCCCAUCAGUGAUCUUCUCCCCAACCUUCAAGGUCCAGCAGCAGCCUCCUCUCAGAAGCCUUCCUGGACCACACCAAGCAACUGGCUUCCAUGCUGAUCUCAUCAGAGAAACUACAUACUGGUAUAGAAAGAUAGGGCCUCUUGGGGAGGAAGUGAAUGUAGCCCCAGCCCUGCUAAUCCAGAGCCUAGCACAAGCUGCCCUUCCUUGUGGAACACCUGGCACCAUAGUUACCAUCUGUGCAGACCAUGGUGCCUUGGAGUUUCAGCCAUUCAGAAGAACAAAGUAGGCCCAAAGGAGGAAAGAAGGAGGUACACAGGCAGUAUUCCUUCUAGCGAGGCUAGUGUGUGUUGGCCUGAAGGCCCAACAGGCAAGAUCUAUCUCUCCAAAGGGGAAGGGACCAUCCUAGAAUUGCCAAUAUGGCACCUGUCUGCUCCCUUCCCACCUCCCCUCACCAGGUUGUGAAAACUUGACCUCACAAUCCUUCCCCUGUUAAGAGAACUUGACCUCACAAUCGUUCUCACAUAGAGUUCCAGAAGGCCACCACCAAGUGGUUGGAACUUGCCAUCCCUGCCCCAGACCUUAAAAGUAAGAAAAGCAAUAAUUAAAACGGCUUCACCAUUUGCAUAACAACCACCACUAUGAUUAUUACUGGCAGGAAUCAUCAAUGGCUGCCAAAAUUACUGCAAAAAUGUAUGAUGGGGAACAGUGUCUCUGCAUAAUCUCAAAGCAUUUCCUCAUAAGACACAUAUUAAUUAUAAAGGAAAAAAAUCAUAGUUUACAUAUUUUAUAGUUGAGAAAACUGACAGAUACUACCUUAAUCAUGUGAUAAAAGUGGACAUUGCCAGGAAUGACCAUCAUGUUCCUCUUGAUACACUGCACUGAGAAGGACACAAUGUCACUGCUGUGGUCUCCUGGCAAAAAAAAAAGCACAAUCUGAAUCUAAUCAUGAAGAAACAUCAGGCAAUCCUGAAUUGGGACUGUCUGCAAAAUAACUAACCUGUACUCUUCAAAAGUGUCAAGGUCAUGAAAGACAAAGGAAGACUGAGGACCUGUCAGAGAUGAGAAGAGUCUCAAUUGGUAUCAGAAUCAAAGAAACUGUGGGGUCUUGGAUUGGAUCCUGGACCAGAAAACGAACAUUUGCUGACACAUUUGGUAACAUUUAAGGUCUGUAGCUUAGUUUAACAGUAUUGGUCAAUGUUAAUUCACCAGUUUUGAUUCUUGAACUAUGAUUAUGUCACAUGUUACCGUUUGGGAUGCUGAGUAAGGGCACAUGGG